CGCCCAUACUCUCCGGUGACACGCCCAUAGCACCAACCCCGGAGCAGAUUGGGAAGCUGCGCAGUGAGCUGGAGAUGGUGAGUGGGAACGUGAGGGUGAUGUCGGAGAUGCUGACGGAGCUGGUGCCCACCCAGGCCGAGCCUGCAGACCUGGAGCUGCUGCAGGAGCUCAACCGUACGUGCCGAGCCAUGCAGCAGCGGGUCCUGGAGCUCAUCCCUCAGAUCGCCAAUGAGCAGCUGACAGAGGAGCUGCUCAUCGUCAAUGACAAUCUCAACAACGUGUUCCUGCGCCAUGAACGGUUUGAACGGUUCCGAACAGGCCAGACCACCAAGGUAAAUAAGGCUAUGCCACCACCUGCUGCCCCAGGGUGUCCCCAGCCUCCCAGGGAGUCCAGUUGAGCUGGAGCCGGAGGGGAGGAAGGAAAUUCCCUGAUGCCCAGUCCUAGCUCCUGGGGCCCUGGUGACAGAUCCUUGGGCAAAGCCUGCAGGCCCCAGUGCUUGGGGCAGAAAGGAACAAAGCUGCAGACAGAGGGGAUGAUUAGGGCAUCUCCCUUCCCACCAGGCCCCAAGUGAGGCCGAGCCGGCAGCUGACCUGAUCGACAUGGGCCCUGACCCAGCAGCCACCGGCAACCUCUCAUCCCAGCUGGCAGGAAUGAACCUGGGCCCCAGCAGUGUGAGAGCUGGCCUGCAGUCUCUGGAGGCCUCUGGUCGACUGGAAGAUGAGUUUGACAUGUUUGCGCUGACACGGGGCAGCUCUCUGGCUGACCAACGGAAAGAGGUAAAAUACGAAGCCCCCCAAGCAACAGACGGCCUGGCUGGAGCCCUGGACGCCCGGCAGCAGAGCACUGGCGCG
Molecule: small RNA, 852 nt
Filed under: Pongo abelii (Sumatran orangutan)
Lineage: Eukaryota; Metazoa; Chordata; Mammalia; Primates; Hominidae
Description: retained intron
Source: RNAcentral